This 252-nucleotide ribosomal RNA is filed under the name uncultured bacterium. Its description in RNAcentral is "partial 16S ribosomal RNA". It matches the Rfam family "Bacterial small subunit ribosomal RNA", at positions 524 to 776 of the family's 1533-position model. The record is from RNAcentral.
UACGUAGGUCCCAAGCGUUGUCCGGAUUUAUUGGGCGUAAAGCGAGCGCAGGUGGUUUCUUAAGUCUGAUGUAAAAGGCAGUGGCUCAACCAUUGUGUGCAUUGGAAACUGGGAGACUUGAGUGCAGGAGAGGAGAGUGGAAUUCCAUGUGUAGCGGUGAAAUGCGUAGAUAUAUGGAGGAACACCGGAGGCGAAAGCGGCUCUCUGGCCUGUAACUGACACUGAGGCUCGAAAACGUGGGGAGCAAACAGG